AAGGGAAAAAGCAUUUCCAGGUGUUCCUUUAUAGAAGCCAAUUCUCUGCUUGCCGGGUCUUGCAGGGGCAGAGGGGCCCACGAGGUUACCUACUGAGGAGCAUCUGGCAGAGGACUCUGUGGCCCUGGAUGACUGCAGAGACAUUAGGUGGAGAGAACUUCAGCCACUGGAUGGGAAGACCAUCCUUUACAAGUUGCUAAAGACCCCUGGACUAUGAAAUGAGCAAUGACUAGAUCUUCAUGCUGUUAAGCUACUGAGACGUGGGGACUGUUUAUUACAGCUUCUAGCUUUACUGGCCCUAAUACACCAAGUUGAUUCUAAAAAGGUCCCAUAACCAUAUUCAGUGAAGCGCUACCUUAGACAAAACUAUGGAGCUCAGGAGCUGCAACUCCUGAGCCCACGUGCCGCAACAAGAGAAGACGCUGUAAUGAGAAGCCUGCGCUCCACGAGGGAGUGGCUCCUGCUCUCCACGCCUAGAGGAAAGCCCAAGCACAGUGAAGACCC
Bos taurus (domestic cattle) is the source of this 504-nucleotide long non-coding RNA. The record is from Ensembl. Lineage: Eukaryota; Metazoa; Chordata; Mammalia; Artiodactyla; Bovidae.